CGUAGUGAUGGAACUGGUAGACUUGGUAGACUCAAAAUCUUCUGCCUUUUGGCGUGGCGGUUCGAAUCCGCCCUACGGUA
Molecule: transfer RNA, 80 nt
Filed under: hydrothermal vent metagenome
Description: tRNA-Pseudo-CAA
Rfam family: tRNA
About the family: Transfer RNA (tRNA) molecules are approximately 80 nucleotides in length.
Source: RNAcentral